Long non-coding RNA from Pristis pectinata (smalltooth sawfish), 360 nucleotides. RefSeq lists it as uncharacterized. The transcript is spliced from 3 exons. The record is from RefSeq and is a predicted model, not a curated record. NCBI's taxonomy places the organism in Eukaryota, Metazoa, Chordata, Chondrichthyes, Rhinopristiformes, Pristidae.
AUUCAGCUAGUCUGGCAGCAUCUAUGCCGGGAGAUUAACAGCCGACGUUUCGGGUCGAGACCCUUCAUCGGGAUUGGAAGGGAAGAGCACAGAAUCCAGAAUAAGACCAUCGGAGGAGCGGGAGGAGCACACGCAGAGCACCAGAAUCUGAUACCUGUCCCCAAAAUGGCUGAAGGAGCGGGCAGGCGAGACGUUCCAGCGAGCUCAACAGGAAAGGACGGGGGUCCGGACGCAGAGAUUACUAAGCUCCUGGCAGAUUGGAACGAUUUGAAGCUGCUGCAAUUGACGGACUUCUACCGGGACAGGUUGCAACAGGCGAUGGAAGGAGGGGUGCACGGAGUCAGCUCGGCGUUAACGUAC